AGGGAUGGCAACGGGUCGGAUCGGUUCGGAUAUCUGUGAUAUCCAAACCCGAACCCGAAAAUUUUCACCAAACCCGAACCCGAUCCAAACCCGUUUGGAUCUGCAAAACGAAACCCGAACCCGAUCCAACGGAUUUCGGAUCGGGUUCGGGUUUUAACCAAACCCGAAUUUUUGGGGGAAAAAAUUACUGAUAAUUGAACUACAAAACCUGAAUUAGAAAUUAGAAUCAAAGUGGAUUGUAAAUAAUGAAGCAACACCGAAUCUAAACAUUACAGUCCAUAAUAUAAUCCAAAGUACCAUUACACGGUACUUCAUACUUCGAAAACAAACCACAAAAUCAAAGUGCAACGGAGUUGUUGGCUGAGGCGGAGAUUGGAGUUGUAGGUGGAGGCGGACAGUGGAGUUGGAAACAGAGUGGCGGAGCUGGACAACGGAGAGGCAGAGAUAGGGUUCUUGUGUUUUGAGAGAUAAAUGCAAAAUAUGAGAAAUUAAAAUUGAGAGAUGGAGAGCGAAAGAGAUUUCACGGGUUGCGAGUGGUUAGGGUUGCAGUCUCGAUCGAGUGGAGUGGCGCUGCUGUGAAAAUAGGGUUUAGGAUGAUGUUUACAAUAGAGUAGAUAUAUACGCGAGCCUGAUAAAGUGGGUUACCAAGGCCCAAACUCAGACUUAAGCCCACGGUGAUAUAUGUAUGAAAUCAAAAUUCUAGGCCCAAUAUAUAUUAUGGUCUAAAAAUUUAUAAAUAAUAUAUAUAACAUUUAUAAUAUAUAUAAUAUAUAAAUAUAUAAUAUAUAAUAUAUAUUAUUUGGAUUUUUUUUCGGGUUUCGGG
RNAcentral lists this long non-coding RNA (823 nucleotides) under Daucus carota (carrot). RNAcentral's name for it is "long non-coding RNA (DCAR_LNC001990)". The record is from RNAcentral. Lineage: Eukaryota; Viridiplantae; Streptophyta; Magnoliopsida; Apiales; Apiaceae.